UAGGGAAUCUUCCACAAUGGACGCAAGUCUGAUGGAGCAACGCCGCGUGAGUGAAGAAGGUUUUCGGAUCGUAAAGCUCUGUUGUUGGUGAAGAAGGAUAGAGGCAGUAACUGGUCUUUAUUUGACGGUAAUCAACCAGUAAGUCACGGCUAACUACGUGCCAGCAGCCGCGGUAAUACGUAGGUGGCAAGCGUUGUCCGGAUUUAUUGGGCGUAAAGCGAGCGCAGGCGGAAUGAUAAGUCUGAUGUGAAAGCCCACGGCUCAACCGUGGAACUGCAUCGGAAACUGUCAUUCUUGAGUGCAGAAGAGGAGAGUGGAAUUCCAUGUGUAGCGGUGGAAUGCGUAGAUAUAUGGAAGAACACCAGUGGCGAAGGCGGCUCUCUGGUCUGCAACUGACGCUGAGGCUCGAAAGCAUGGGUAGCGAACAGG
Molecule: ribosomal RNA, 429 nt
Filed under: bacterium
Lineage: Bacteria
Description: partial 16S ribosomal RNA
Rfam family: Bacterial small subunit ribosomal RNA
Source: RNAcentral